RNAcentral lists this ribosomal RNA (273 nucleotides) under uncultured bacterium. RNAcentral describes it as "partial 16S ribosomal RNA". It matches the Rfam family "Bacterial small subunit ribosomal RNA", at positions 524 to 796 of the family's 1533-position model. The record is from RNAcentral.
AACGUAGGAGACAAACGUUAUCCGGAGUUACUGGGCGUAAAGGGCGUGCAGGCGGUUGAUUAAGUCUGGCGUGAAAGCUCUCGGCUAAACCGAGAGAGGUCGUUGGAUACUGGUCAACUAGAGGACGGUAGAGGCGAGUGGAAUUCCGGGUGUAGUGGUGAAAUGCGUAGAGAUCCGGAGGAACACCAGUGGCGAAGGCGACUCGCUGGGCCGUACCUGACGCUAAGACGCGACAGCAUGGGGAGCGAACGGGAUUAGAAACCCCCGUAGUCC